GACGAACGCUGGCGGCGUGCUUAACACAUGCAAGUCGAACGAUGAAGCUGGAGCUUGCUCCGGUGGAUUAGUGGCGAACGGGUGAGUAACACGUGAGCAAUCUGCCCUUGACUCUGGGAUAACUGCGGGAAACUGUAGCUAAUACCGGAUACGAGGCUCGAAGGCAUCUUCGGGUCUGGAAAGAAUUUCGGUCAAGGAUGAGCUCGCGGCCUAUCAGCUUGUUGGUGAGGUAAUGGCUCACCAAGGCGACGACGGGUAGCCGGCCUGAGAGGGCGACCGGCCACACUGGGACUGAGACACGGCCCAGACUCCUACGGGAGGCAGCAGUGGGGAAUAUUGGGCAAUGGGGGAAACUCUGACCCAGCGACGCCGCGUGCGGGAUGAAGGCCUCGGUGUAACCGCUUCAGCAGGGAAGAAGCGAAAGUGACGGUACCUGCAGAAGAAGCACCGGCUAACUAUGUG
Molecule: ribosomal RNA, 462 nt
Filed under: uncultured bacterium
Lineage: Bacteria
Description: bacterial SSU rRNA
Rfam family: Bacterial small subunit ribosomal RNA
Source: RNAcentral